RNAcentral lists this ribosomal RNA (513 nucleotides) under Pseudoalteromonas sp. MED290. Its description in RNAcentral is "bacterial SSU rRNA". It matches the Rfam family "Bacterial small subunit ribosomal RNA", at positions 371 to 877 of the family's 1533-position model. The record is from RNAcentral. Lineage: Bacteria; Pseudomonadati; Pseudomonadota; Gammaproteobacteria; Alteromonadales; Pseudoalteromonadaceae.
AUGGGCGCAAGCCUGAUGCAGCCAUGCCGCGUGUGUGAAGAAGGCCUUCGGGUUGUAAAGCACUUUCAGUCAGGAGGAAAGGUUAGUAGUUAAUACCUGCUAGCUGUGACGUUACUGACAGAAGAAGCACCGGCUAACUCCGUGCCAGCAGCCGCGGUAAUACGGAGGGUGCGAGCGUUAAUCGGAAUUACUGGGCGUAAAGCGUACGCAGGCGGUUUGUUAAGCGAGAUGUGAAAGCCCCGGGCUCAACCUGGGAACUGCAUUUCGAACUGGCAAACUAGAGUGUGAUAGAGGGUGGUAGAAUUUCAGGUGUAGCGGUGAAAUGCGUAGAGAUCUGAAGGAAUACCGAUGGCGAAGGCAGCCACCUGGGUCAACACUGACGCUCAUGUACGAAAGCGUGGGGAGCAAACAGGAUUAGAUACCCUGGUAGUCCACGCCGUAAACGAUGUCUACUAGAAGCUCGGAGCCUCNGCUCUGUUUUUCAAAGCUAACGCAUUAAGUAGACCGCCUGGG